This 252-nucleotide ribosomal RNA is filed under the name uncultured bacterium. RNAcentral's name for it is "partial 16S ribosomal RNA". It matches the Rfam family "Bacterial small subunit ribosomal RNA", at positions 524 to 776 of the family's 1533-position model. The record is from RNAcentral.
UACGUAGGGGGCUAGCGUUGUCCGGAAUCAUUGGGCGUAAAGCGCGUGUAGGCGGUCCGGUAAGUCCGCUGUGAAAGUCGGGGGCUCAACCCUCGAAUGCCGGUGGAUACUGUCAGACUAGAGUACGGAAGAGGCGAGUGGAAUUCCUGGUGUAGCGGUGAAUGCGCAGAUAUCAGGAGGAACACCCAUUGCGAAGGCAGCUCGCUGGGACGUUACUGACGCUGAGACGCGAAAGCGUGGGGAGCAAACAGG